Bombyx mori (domestic silkworm) is the source of this 119-nucleotide non-coding RNA. The record is from Rfam. Lineage: Eukaryota; Metazoa; Arthropoda; Insecta; Lepidoptera; Bombycidae.
GUGUCUAUUGAAAGGAGAGACGGCUAGCACUCACCUUGACAAGGAUGGAACACACAAUUUGGUUAAGGCACUAAUUAUGGUAGGCAGCGGCAUGGCUCUGCCCCUAGCAUUGCUGAUGU